RNAcentral lists this unclassified non-coding RNA (329 nucleotides) under soil metagenome. Its description in RNAcentral is "partial contains 5.8S ribosomal RNA, internal transcribed spacer 2, and large subunit ribosomal RNA". The stretch from base 1 to 120 matches the Rfam family "5.8S ribosomal RNA", at positions 35 to 154 of the family's 154-position model. The record is from RNAcentral.
GAUGAAGAACGUAGCGAAAUGCGAUAAGUAAUGUGAAUUGCAGAAUUCAGUGAAUCAUCGAAUCUUUGAACGCACAUUGCGCCCCCUGGUAUUCCGGGGGGCAUGCCUGUUCGAGCGUCAUUACAACCCUCAAGCUCUGCUUGGUGUUGGGCCCCGCCGCCCCGGCGGGCCCUAAAAUCAGUGGCGGUGCCGUCCGGCUCCGAGCGUAGUAAUUCUUCUCGCUCUGGAGGUCCGGGUGUGUGCUCGCCAGCAACCCCCAAUUUUUUUCAGGUUGACCUCGGAUCAGGUAGGGAUACCCGCUGAACUUAAGCAUAUCAAUAAGCGGAGGG